This is a long non-coding RNA of Corapipo altera (White-ruffed manakin), 430 nucleotides long. RefSeq lists it as uncharacterized. The record is from RefSeq and is a predicted model, not a curated record. The transcript has 3 exons. Lineage: Eukaryota; Metazoa; Chordata; Aves; Passeriformes; Pipridae.
GGAGGGACUCGAGGGGAGCACAACUGCUCUCUGGGGAUGGUUCUUUUGAACUUUCCGUAUAAACUCGUAGUGAAUACUGAAGUACAGCUGGAGCAGUUCCCUCCUGAAGCAGGAUCCAGGAUUCUCAGCCGUGCUUCAGCCGGGGUCCCCGGGGAUGCCCCCAGGGAAGGAGCAGGGACUGACAUGUUGUAUCAGGGCCUGUCUGACCCAGGAAUCUGGAACACAUUAAAUCAAACCCUCGGCAUCACCGUGACUGACCACAAGUGCCUUGCUCGGCUGCUCAGCUUCUUUUUUCAACGUGUCAAAACUGGGAAGUUUUUCAAGAAGCUUUUUCUGUGAUUAAAGGGGACACUGGAGGAACCUGCCUCUCCCUCUGACCGAAAAUCUCUUCUCAAUUUGGUUCUCAUUUCUUUCUCUUAUAUUUGAAACU